RNAcentral lists this transfer RNA (83 nucleotides) under Methanothermobacter sp. RNAcentral describes it as "tRNA-Leu". It matches the Rfam family "tRNA". Rfam says of the family: Transfer RNA (tRNA) molecules are approximately 80 nucleotides in length. Lineage: Archaea; Methanobacteriati; Methanobacteriota; Methanobacteria; Methanobacteriales; Methanobacteriaceae. The record is from RNAcentral.
GCAGGGGUACCCGAGUGGACAAAGGGGGUGGACUCAAGAUCCUCUGGUGUAGGCCUUCAAGGGUUCGAAUCCCUUCCCCUGCA